CGGGAGGCAGCAGUAGGGAAUCUUCCGCAAUGGACGAAAGUCUGACGGAGCAACGCCGCGUGAGCGAUGAAGGCCUUCGGGUCGUAAAGCUCUGUUGUCAGGGAAGAACAAGUACCGGAGUAACUGCCGGCACCUUGACGGUACCUGACCAGAAAGCCACGGCUAACUACGUGCCAGCAGCCGCGGUAAUACGUAGGUGGCAAGCGUUGUCCGGAAUUAUUGGGCGUAAAGCGCGCGCAGGCGGUUCCUUAAGUCUGAUGUGAAAGCCCCCGGCUCAACCGGGGAGGGUCAUUGGAAACUGGGGAACUUGAGUGCAGAAGAGGAGAGCGGAAUUCCACGUGUAGCGGUGAAAUGCGUAGAGAUGUGGAGGAACACCAGUGGCGAAGGCGGCUCUCUGGUCUGUAACUGACGCUGAGGCGCGAAAGCGUGGGGAGCGAACAGGAUUAGAUACCCUGGUAGUCCACGCCGUAAACGAUGAGUGCUAAGUGUUAGAGGGUUUCCGCCCUUUAGUGCUGCAGCAAACGCAUUAAGCACUCCGCCUGGGGAGUACGGCCGCAAGGCUGAAACUCAAAGGG
This 575-nucleotide ribosomal RNA is filed under the name uncultured bacterium. Its description in RNAcentral is "bacterial SSU rRNA". It matches the Rfam family "Bacterial small subunit ribosomal RNA", at positions 342 to 908 of the family's 1533-position model. The record is from RNAcentral.